Molecule: ribosomal RNA, 62 nt
Filed under: Tuber neoexcavatum
Lineage: Eukaryota; Fungi; Ascomycota; Pezizomycetes; Pezizales; Tuberaceae
Description: partial 28S ribosomal RNA
Source: RNAcentral
UGACCUCGGAUCAGGUAGGCAUACCCGCUGAACUUAAGCAUAUCAAAGGCGGGGAGAGAAGA